This 374-nucleotide ribosomal RNA is filed under the name uncultured organism. RNAcentral's name for it is "partial 16S ribosomal RNA". It matches the Rfam family "Bacterial small subunit ribosomal RNA", at positions 527 to 896 of the family's 1533-position model. The record is from RNAcentral.
GUAGGUGGCAAGCGUUGUCCGGAAUUAUUGGGCGUAAAGCGCGCGCAGGCGGUUCUUUAAGUCUGAUGUGAAAGCCCACGGCUCAACCGCGGAGGGUCAUUGGAAACUGGAGAACUUGAGUACAGAAGAGGAAAGCGGAAUUCCACGUGUAGCGGUGAAAUGCGUAGAGAUGUGGAGGAACACCAGUGGCGAAGGCGGCUUUCUGGUCUGUAACUGACGCUGAGGCGCGAAAGCGUGGGGAGCAAACAGGGAUUAGAUACCCUGGUAGUCCACGCCGUAAACGAUGAGUGCUAAGUGUUAGGGGGGUUUCCGCCCCCGUUAGUGCUGCAGCUAACGCAUUAAGCACUCCGCCUGGGGAUACGGCCGCAAGGCUG